CAGUCGCCUCGGGAAUACGUAGGGUGCAAGCGUUAAUCGGAAUUACUGGGCGUAAAGCGUGCGCAGGCGGUUAUAUAAGACAGAUGUGAAAUCCCCGGGCUCAACCUGGGAACUGCAUUUGUGACUGUAUAGCUAGAGUACGGCAGAGGGGGAUGGAAUUCCGCGUGUAGCAGUGAAAUGCGUAGAUAUGCGGAGGAACACCGAUGGCGAAGGCAAUCCCCUGGGCCUGUACUGACGCUCAUGCACGAAAGCGUGGGGAGCAAACAGGAUUAGAUACCCCUGUAGUCCCUGUCUCUUAUAC
This 301-nucleotide ribosomal RNA is filed under the name uncultured bacterium. RNAcentral describes it as "partial 16S ribosomal RNA". It matches the Rfam family "Bacterial small subunit ribosomal RNA", at positions 509 to 807 of the family's 1533-position model. The record is from RNAcentral.